This 497-nucleotide ribosomal RNA is filed under the name uncultured bacterium. RNAcentral's name for it is "partial 16S ribosomal RNA". It matches the Rfam family "Bacterial small subunit ribosomal RNA", at positions 28 to 507 of the family's 1533-position model. The record is from RNAcentral.
GAUGAACGCUGGCGGCGUGCCUAAUACAUGCAAGUCGAGCGAACAGACGAGGAGCUUGCUCCUCUGACGUUAGCGGCGGACGGGUGAGUAACACGUGGAUAACCUACCUAUAAGACUGGGAUAACUUCGGGAAACCGGAGCUAAUACCGGAUAAUAUAUUGAACCGCAUGGUUCAAUAGUGAAAGACGGUUUUGCUGUCACUUAUAGAUGUAUCCGCGCCGCAUUAGCUAGUUGGUAAGGUAACGGCUUACCAAGGCGACGAUGCGUAUCCGACCUGAGAGGGUGAUCGGCCACACUGGAACUGAGACACGGUCCAGACUCCUACGGGAGGCAGCAGUAGGGAAUCUUCCGCAAUGGGCGAAAGCCUGACGGAGCAACGCCGCGUGAGUGAUGAAGGUCUUCGGAUCGUAAAACUCUGUUAUUAGGGAAGAACAAAUGUGUAAGUAACUAUGCACGUCUUGACGGUACCUAAUCAGAAAGCCACGGCUAACUACGUG